Molecule: non-coding RNA, 306 nt
Organism: Paramuricea clavata
Lineage: Eukaryota; Metazoa; Cnidaria; Anthozoa; Malacalcyonacea; Plexauridae
Source: the annotation of a GenBank genome assembly
UUACAGAAUUCUGUUGGUCAGAAAACGACAUUGUAACAUAUCAGAGAGGCCCUGGCCAAUGUUUUUGCUCUAUCGCCUAAGCUUGGGGGCCCCCAUUUCGGCCCAUUGUGGUUGGGGCCCCCGGGUUCUCCCGGUCUGAGCCCAUAGUAGUUACGCCACUGAUUGAGAGUUGAGCAAGAGUGGGUAGUAGCGAAGUAGUUGUAGUUCGCUACUGUAGCGAACUACAAUUUUCAAGUAGCCAGCAGUUUUUGACUACUUUUUUAAAACAGUAGUUGUAGUUAUAGCGAACUACAUUUUGCCUAAAAG